UACAGAGGUCCCGAGCGUUGUUCGGAUUCAUUGGGCGUAAAGGGUGCGUAGGCGGUCGGGUAAGUCUGAUGUGAAAUCUCACAGCUUAACUGUGAAACUGCAUUGGAUACUAUUCGGCUUGAGAGUUGGAGGGGGGACUGGAAUUCUUGGUGUAGCAGUGAAAUGCGUAGAUAUCAAGAGGAACACCAGUGGCGAAGGCGAGUCCCUGGACAACUUCUGACGCUCAUGCACGAAAGCGUGGGGAGCAAACAGG
RNAcentral lists this ribosomal RNA (253 nucleotides) under uncultured bacterium. RNAcentral's name for it is "partial 16S ribosomal RNA". It matches the Rfam family "Bacterial small subunit ribosomal RNA", at positions 524 to 776 of the family's 1533-position model. The record is from RNAcentral.